GGAAUAUUGGACAAUGGGGGCAACCCUGAUCCAGCCAUGCCGCGUGUGUGAAGAAGGCCUUCGGGUUGUAAAGCACUUUCAGUGGUGAGGGAGGGGAGCGUGUUAAUAGCACGCUUCAUUGACGUUAGCCACAGAAGAAGCACCGGCUAACUCCGUGCCAGCAGCCGCGGUAAUACGGAGGGUGCGAGCGUUAAUCGGAAUUACUGGGCGUAAAGCGCACGCAGGCGGCUUGUUAAGCCAGAUGUGAAAGCCCCGGGCUCAACCUGGGAGGGUCAUUUGGAACUGGCAAGCUAGAGUCUUGGAGAGGGGAGUGGAAUUCCAGGUGUAGCGGUGAAAUGCGUAGAGAUCUGGAGGAACAUCAGUGGCGAAGGCGGCUCCCUGGCCAAAGACUGACGCUCAUGUGCGAAAGUGUGGGUAGCGA
Molecule: ribosomal RNA, 421 nt
Filed under: uncultured bacterium
Lineage: Bacteria
Description: bacterial SSU rRNA
Rfam family: Bacterial small subunit ribosomal RNA
Source: RNAcentral